CCGGGAGAUUGUGAAAACUUCUACUCAAGUCCCUAAGGGUGGUUUUAGGGACAAACGCACAAUACCCACAUGAAUGUACCUGGUUCUCAAAGUUUUUCUGGCAUCAUUAACUUGGAGAAACCUGUGAUUUGCUGUUUGGCUGCCAUAAUAAGAUACCUCAAAGAGUUUAACUUGGAAAAGAUACUCUCCAAACCCGAGUAAGUGGUGUCUCAAGUCAAAAGGGCAGGUGGAGAGUUACAGUAAAAAUGUUUCAACUUUAGUAUGUGUUAUAUUCAGAGGAUUUACCUGCUUUUGGUAGAAUUCCCUAGGACAGGACAGAGAAAGACUCUUUGGUAGUACUGCUGCAGAAUAAUACAAAUAUUAAUUAACUUAAAAUAUUGAUAAAAUUCUGGCAGCUUGUAUUCAUGGUAACCAUUUGGUAGAUUGUUUUGGCUGUGGAACUGUGCUUUCUCUUAAGGGGAUUAAGAAGUAGGUUUAGGGCCGGGGAUUUAGCUCAGUGGUUCCACUGCCUACCUUGCAAGCGCAAGAUCCCAGUUCUAUCCCCAGUACCAAAAAAAAAAAAAAAAGGAAGUAGAGUUAAAAGCAUUCACAACAUUUUGCUACUUUUCUAACUCCUGGUUUCAGCUCUUGUUUCACAGACUGUACAUUUGGAGAGAAAGGGGCGAGCUAUUAAUCCAGGUGCUUUUAGCAGAGUGACUAACUUGCAGAUUUCAGAAACGUCACCAGACAGUGGCUGUCAAGGGGAACGCUAGUGUAACGAGGUGACAGUGGGGUCGACUUCUUGCCUCUCUCUUUCUCCACCACCAACCCUGUCCUGCCGCCGUCAGGAGUCACCGCCCACCAGUGGCCCUGGGUCAGUGAACUCGGCACUCCGCAGGGCUGGCCAGCAGGGAGCUGGACAGUGGCGCUGACUUGAGGUGCUGGGCAGAGUGGGACAGGGAGCGUCCUUGGGAGUCUUGUCAUAAGGUCUCCGAUGUACUCUGUGCAGUCCUUGAUGAAACAGUGAUGCUUCUCUAGAGGCAUAGUUGUCCCGUUUGAAGCAGUGUAGAUGGCAUCGCAGGGAAAUGGGUUUGUUGUGUCACGUGUGUGCCAUGCACAGUGAGUGUCUGUAGGACCAACAGAGUGAACUGAGCUGGAAGUCGGUGUGUGGGAGGGCGUGGCACACACCGCUCCAAGAGGACCCCUUGCUAGGUCAGGAGUUGCUUCUUCUGGGGAGGAGGAGGAAGAUGAUGGUGCGUGAUGGCUCAGAGGCAUUUGAAUCACUUAAACUUUUUUUUUUGGUACUGGGGAUCAAACUUGGGUCCUUGCGCUUGUGCAGCAGGCAGCAGAACCACUGAACUAAAUCCCUGGCCCUGAAUCACUUAAACUUUUAACCUGGUGUUAUAUUAACCUGUGAGUGUUCUAGUAUGGCCGAAGGGUUUUACUUUUAGAAAGUGGCGGCCUGCCAUGAUGCCUCAGUGGAUGCUGCUUUAACCCCACAGUUAGGCUAUUGGAGAGGCCCAUCUGUGUGGUUGAUGGUGUUAAAAAUUUUUAAAAAUUUAAAGAAGCAAGAAACAAAAGAAGAAACAUGCUGUACUAUGUACACGUAACGAUUCCCCAAGACUAUUGUAAGCUACAUGAACUGCAAACGUACAAAAAAACAAAAACAAAAAAACCCCAAAGAACAAGCCAUCUGCAUUGGGCUUGAGAAGCUUCAGUGCUGGAGAAGCUUCAGCAAAGUAGUCAGGGAUGGACAGCUCGCCCAGGAAGGAAGCAGCACCAAGGAAGGAAGAGUUAACAUCGGAGUAGUGAAACUGUCCCCUGCUUUGUAAAAUCAGAUUCUGAUGUGUCUGGGUGAUGAUUUGAGACUGAAAGAGUGUGUCCUCUCAUAUUGAGUUAAAAUAACAGCAAACAAUGAAGCAAAGCGAUAGGCCCUCAUUUUGUAUGUGUUCCUAGCUCCUCGUAGACAGUCAGAAAAUAUGGAGUUAAUGAAAGAAGGAAGGAAUUCCAGAUCCUGGAGAGUGGAUUUAGUUGGAAAUUGCCACAAAGACAUUGGAAGCAGGAAGAGCGGCUGCAGAUGGCGACCAGACUGGACUGCUGCAGCCUGGGUGGUGGGGCUUCACAGGUGGUAUGUGACUUCACUCUGGAGACCAUGCCAGGGGACUAGGUCUGCAGGCCGUGUAGUUUGGAAAGACAAAGCAACCUCUUGAGGCAGUUACUUUGGAAAAAGUGAAUAUUCUCCUUGUGUAUGAAAUGCGGUUGUAUUACUUUAUAAUCAUGUUAUGCUGCUGAACUUUUGAACUUGUACUUUAAGACUUGUAUUGUCAGGAAAAAUGAAUUCAACUUGAGUUGCUUUGUUUAGUGAAUGCUUUCAUAAAAAUUGCUGCAUAUAUUAUAAAAUCGAGGAGCAUUUAUUUCAAGGUCUUUGUGCCUUUACAAUAGAAUUUGAGGUGGUGGAAGAAGAUAUACCAUUUCAGGAAUGAUUCUUAGGAGUAGGUGAAGUAAAGUGUUUUAAUAAGGGAAAAAUUUGAGGUUCCAAAAUUGUUUUGAGGAUUUAAGUGUGGCUAUUCCGAGCAGAAUAAUGUAACAGCAUAGCUAUAGCAUGAAGGACAGCAGGUGGAUCCUGGUGUAGUUUGGACGUUGAAUGUCCCAGAGGCCCACAGGUCACAGGUCACAGGUCACAGGCCUGGUCUCCAGCCUGUGGUGCUUUUGGGCGGAGAUGGGCCUGCAGGAGGAAGUGAGGUCACGGGGGCGUGUCCUCCAGGGGGACCCAGAUGCUGGCCCCUCCUGUCUCCCUCCGUGCUUCCUUUCCCACACACUGUCUGCCAUCAUGCGCUGCCUGGGCACAGGCCCAAAGGCGCCAGGCAAAUCAGCCAUGGCCUGGAACCUGUGAAGCGCCGAGCUAAGAUAACCUUUCCUCCUUAUAAGUUGAUUAUCUCAGGUAUUUUGUCACAGGAACAUAAAGCUAACAAUUAUGACAGAAUUAGUCCAAUUUUUUUUUUAAUUAGUCCAGUUCUUAAAGGUAUGACAUUUUAGAGGCAUUGGCUUUUUUUGUUAUCAGAAAUGAAUGCUUUGUCAUCUUGGACGAUUUUUCAUUGAGAUUAGUUUGGUCAGAAUUUUAAGUAAGCUUUGGCUUUGGAAAUUGUAGGAAAGAAUGAGAAAAUUCACCCAAGAUGAACUCUAAAACCUUUUUAUUAGAAAAUUGCUUAUAAAAACAGAAUGAUAAUACAUGGUGACUUCUUUUAUUUGUGAAUAUAGAGUUAAUAUAUAAGCUACUUAACGACAUCUAAUAGGUACAGGCCAGGGAUGCUGCCAAACAUUUAAACUCACAGGACAUCCCACUAUCCCCUAGAAGAAAAUAACAACAAUAAUAAUACAUCUCAACUGUCACUACUCCAAAACCAGGCAAAGACAUCCCAAGAGAAGAUACCACAGACUCAUGUAUCGUAUGAAUAGAGACGCAAAAUCUUCACCAAAGCACAAGCAGAUGGAUCCAGCAGUAUGAUAAAAGGACCAAGUACCAUGACUAUGUGAUUUAUUCCAGGAAUAUAGGGUUGGUUUAAGAAUCCAAAAACCAAUGAAUGUACUAUAUUUUGUCAGUGGAAUAAAAGACAAAGCUACAUAAUUAUCUCAGUAGACAGAGAAGCCUUUGGCAGAAAGCAACACCUUUUGAAAUACAAACACUCAGGAAAUUCACACUAAAAGGAGCUUGUUUGAGCUGAGGGCAUCCUGAAAGCCUUGCAGCUAACAGCACGCUUGUUGGUGGGGGUCUGAAUGCCUUUCACCCGAGAGCAGGAAGAUGAAGACGUCCUCUCCCACCACGUCAGCGCUGUCCUGGGUAUUCUAGCCAGCACUGUGCCACGUAAAGAUAAAGCCAAUAGGAAGGAAGUAAAGUAUUCAUUAUUUCAGAUGACUUGAACUCACAUAUAGAAAACCCUAAAGAAUUUCACAGAGACUGUUGGUGCUAAUAUACUGGUUCACAAAAAUAUAGGAUAUGAAAUAAAUAUAUAAAAAUCGUUUGCAGUAAAGAAUUUGAAAAUGAAAAUUAGAAAAUUCCUCUACAAUAGCAUGACAAAGAAUAAGAAUGAAUUUAAUAAAGAAAGAAGCAGAAAUUUCUACUUUGCACACUAUAAAACAUCCUAGAAAGGAAUUAAGACCUAAAAACGUGGAAAGGCACCCUAGGUUCACGGAUUAGAGACUUAAUGUUGGUAAACUAUAAUAUUCUCCAAACUGAUCUGUAAAUUCACUGCAGUCUGUAUCAGAAUCCCAGCCGGCUUCUCUGUGAAAAUCCACAAGCCAGUCCCCAAGUUCAUAGGAGAACGCAUGGGAGGCAGCAUACCCGCAGUUCUGAAAAAGGACAGAGUUGGGGGCUCGCUCCUGGCUCAAAACUGACUCUGAGGCUGGUGGCGAGACAGUGUGGCGCCAGUGUAGGAACUGACCUGGGGAGGCCGGAAGUGCAGCUUUACAUUUGCGGUGAAGACAGAACUGUGGCCAAUAGGUUUUUGUUUGUGUUUUCAACAAGCGGUUCCGGGACAACCAGAUGUCUGUGCAAGAGAGCGGAGUCGGACCCUUCUCUCCUGUCCUGCAGGAGCUGGAGAAUAACUCAAAACGGACCAAGGCGACCUUAAAACCCAGCGUGUAAGUUUUCAUGGCCAUGGAUUAGUCAGGGUUUUCUAAAUUGUGGUGUGAAAAGCAUAAAUGCCAAGAGCAAAAACCCCAGAUAUAUUGGACUUCGUCAAAAUUAAAAGCUUUUAUUUAAAGAUAACAUCAUGAAAGUGAAAAAAUAGCCCACCAAAUGGAAGAAAAAUUUUGCGACUCAUACAUCCAGUGAGGCACUGGACGUGGAGCUCAUGCAGAUCAGUAGUAAAGAGAGAGGUAGCCGGUGUGUAAAGCGAGGAAGGGACCAGCACAGGCAUUUCCCGGAGAAUUUGUAGGAGUGACCCGUAAAGCGCGUCAGCGAUAUUCGCCAUCACUGGUCAUGGGCGAGUCCAGAUUGAAGUCCAGGUGAGCCAGUGCCAGGCCUGCCAGCAGCACAUGGCUCCCUCCCAUCGCUGAUGGGAAUGCAGAGUGACUCACCUCUUCCGAAAGCGGCCGGCGCUGCUGUCUGACCAGGGGGCUCCCUGGGCGGAAUGCAUGGAGACAGGAGUGUCUGCCCAGACAGAGUGUGCAUGGGUGUUCACGUGGGCGUUGUGCCCAAUGUCGUGGAAGGGGAGCAGCCACUGUGACCCGUGCCCGGAGAGCAGCGUCCAGCAUGAGGGGAGUGGAGCAUGGCAUGAGCUGCCGGCUGGGGAACCUGCCAGGGCAGGAGACUGACACAGCCCGAGGCUGGGGACUGUGCUGUGUGAGGAGCUGUCUGCAGAGACAGAAGGUGGCUGGCUGUUGGCUGCCCGCGCCUUGUGGGUGUGCGGCAGUGAGGUGC
This is a long non-coding RNA of Heterocephalus glaber (naked mole-rat), 5398 nucleotides long. Lineage: Eukaryota; Metazoa; Chordata; Mammalia; Rodentia; Bathyergidae. The record is from Ensembl.